UGGGGAAUCUUGGACAAUGGGCGCAAGCCUGAUCCAGCCAUGCCGCGUGAGUGAUGAAGGCCUUAGGGUUGUAAAACUCUUUCGCCGAGGACGAUAAUGACGGUACUCGGAGAAGAAGCUCCGGCUAACUUCGUGCCAGCAGCCGCGGUAAUACGAAGGGGGCUAGCGUUGUUCGGAUUUACUGGGCGUAAAGCGCGUGUAGGCGGAUUUGUAAGUUGGGGGUGAAAUCCCGAGGCUCAACCUCGGAACUGCCUCCAAAACUACAAGUCUGGAGCGAGAUAGAGGCAAGUGGAAUUCCGAGUGUAGAGGUGAAAUUCGUAGAUAUUCGGAGGAACACCAGUGGCGAAGGCGACUUGCUGGAUCUCUGCUGACGCUGAGACGCGAAAGCGUGGGGAGCAAACAG
This 403-nucleotide ribosomal RNA is filed under the name uncultured bacterium. RNAcentral's name for it is "bacterial SSU rRNA". It matches the Rfam family "Bacterial small subunit ribosomal RNA", at positions 355 to 775 of the family's 1533-position model. The record is from RNAcentral.